GACGAACGCUGGCGGCGUGCCUAAUACAUGCAAGUUGAGCGCUGAAGGUUGGUACUUGUACCAACUGGAUGAGCAGCGAACGGGUGAGUAACGCGUGGGGAAUCUGCCUUUGAGCGGGGGACAACAUUUGGAAACGAAUGCUAAUACCGCAUAAAAACUUUAAACACAAGUUUUAAGUUUGAAAGAUGCAAUUGCAUCACUCAAAGAUGAUCCCGCGUUGUAUUAGCUAGUUGGUGAGGUAAAGGCUCACCAAGGCGAUGAUACAUAGCCGACCUGAGAGGGUGAUCGGCCACAAUGGGACUGAGACACGGCCCAAACUCCUACGGGAGGCAGCAGUAGGGAAUCUUCGGCAAUGGACGAAAGUCUGAACGAGCAACGCCGCGUGAGUGAAGAAGGUUUUCGGAUCGUAAAACUCUGUUGGUAGAGAAGAACGUUGGUGAGAGUGGAAAGCUCAUCAAGUGACGGUAACUACCCAGAAAGGGACGGCUAACUACGUG
Molecule: ribosomal RNA, 497 nt
Filed under: uncultured bacterium
Lineage: Bacteria
Description: partial 16S ribosomal RNA
Rfam family: Bacterial small subunit ribosomal RNA
Source: RNAcentral